This 870-nucleotide long non-coding RNA is filed under the name Homo sapiens (human). RNAcentral describes it as "HSALNT0283357". Lineage: Eukaryota; Metazoa; Chordata; Mammalia; Primates; Hominidae. The record is from RNAcentral.
CACUGGGCUAGCCCAUAAGAACCCAGCCUCCAGGCUAGGCCCCAGUUCCAGGCCAGCACCUCUAGCCCCAGGCACCAGGCCAGCCUUCAGACUUAGCCUCCAAAGCAACACCACACACCCAGCCUCUGGGACAGCUCCCAUGGAUCCAGUAUCCAGACCUGCCCCAGCACCAGACUAGCCCAGACUCCAGUAAAUCCAGGGCCCAGGCAAUAGCUCUAAAAAUAUGCUUAACCAAAGAGGUGAAAGAUCUAUACAUUAAAAAUUAUAUAACAUUGAUGAAACAAAUUGAAGAAAACACACACAAAAAAUGAAAGAUACAUUGUGUUCAUGGAUUAGAAGAAUUAAUAUUGUUAAAAUGUCCAUACUGCCCACAGCAAUCUACAAAUUCAACACAACUCCUAUCAAAACUCUCAUGACGUUUUUCACAGAAAUAGAAAAAAAAUCCUAAAGUUAAUAUGGAACCAUAAAAGAUAUCAAAUAACCAAAGCAAUCUUGAGCAAAAACAACAAAGCUGGAGGCAUCACACUGUGUCUGGAAUUGGUGGGUUCUUGGUCUCAUUGACUUCAAGAAUGAAGCUGCAGACCCUCGCGGUGAGUGUCACAGUUCUUAAAGGCGGCAUGUCCGGAAUUUGUUCCUUCGGAUAUUCGGAUGUGUUUGCAGUUUCUUCCUUCUGGUGGGUUUGUGGUCUCACUGGCUUCAGGAGUGAAGCUGCAGACUUUCACGGUGAGUGUUACAACUCAUAAAGGCAGUGUGGACCCAAACAGUGACCAGCAGCAAGAUUUAUUGCAAAGAGCAAAAAAACAAAGCUUCCACAGUGUGGAAGGGGACCCCAGGGGGUUGCCACUGCUGGCUCAGGCAGCCUGCUUUUAU